This 364-nucleotide ribosomal RNA is filed under the name Pneumocystis carinii. Its description in RNAcentral is "LSU rRNA". It matches the Rfam family "Bacterial large subunit ribosomal RNA", at positions 782 to 1120 of the family's 2925-position model. Lineage: Eukaryota; Fungi; Ascomycota; Pneumocystomycetes; Pneumocystales; Pneumocystaceae. The record is from RNAcentral.
GUGUACGUUGCAAAGUACUCGGAUGAAUUGUGGUAAGUAGUGAAAUACAAAUCGGACUAGGAUAUAGCUGGUUUUCUGCGAAAUCUAUUUUAGUAGAUGAUUUAUUAUUUUAUUAGUGGGUAUAGCACUGAAUAUCUCGUAAUUUGAAUUACAAGAAGGGAGUAUGAAAGUACUUACUUUGGAUAUUUAAUCUCAGAAUAACUAAUAAGAAGAUAAGAUAAAUUCUCAGACUUUUUGCGAUGAGGUGAAAAGUCGAAAGGGAAACAGCCCAGAAUAAUGAAUAAAGUUCCUCAAUUGUUACUGAGUGAAAGAAAAGAGGUUUUUCAUCUGAGACAAUCAAGAAGUGGGCUUGGAAACAGCCAUC